RNAcentral lists this transfer RNA (75 nucleotides) under Cloacibacterium normanense. RNAcentral describes it as "tRNA-Arg". It matches the Rfam family "tRNA". Rfam says of the family: Transfer RNA (tRNA) molecules are approximately 80 nucleotides in length. The record is from RNAcentral. Lineage: Bacteria; Pseudomonadati; Bacteroidota; Flavobacteriia; Flavobacteriales; Weeksellaceae.
GGCCGCAUAGUUUAAUGGAUAGAACUACGGAUUUCGGCUCCGUCAGUGAGGGUUCGAAUCCUUCUGUGGUCACUA